UUCUCCUAAAGACUAAGCCAUGCAUGCCUUCGAAUAGAAGACGCAAUCUCUCUGAAUCUGCGAACGGCUCCGCAUACCAGUUGUAAACCAUAGCAAGCCAACCUUGGGAAGACCCGAUCAAAAGGGAUGACCCUUGGUUGAAUAAGGAUACCCAUGGUAAUUCUGAGGCUAAUACAAGUAUAUAACGACUUGGUCAACCGGGAAACUGGAAGGCUGGGGGUCGUGUGAAGCUUAACUGCAACACCGACCUAGGAAACGAUGCACAAUCAGACCACCACACAAACGGUCUCGUUCUGAGGCAAGUACCUUCGGGGAAAGCCAAAGGGCUUGACUGGGUGGCUCUUGCUUUGUGCUUCUGACCUAUCAACUCGAUGGCAGCGUAAGGGACAUGCUAUGGUUACAACGGGUACAGAGGAUAAGGGUUCGAUCCUGGAGAGUGGGCCUGAGAGAUUGCUCACACUUCUAAGGAAGGCAGCAGGCGCGCAACGUUCCCAAUGGGUAACACCUGAGGGCGUUAGGGGACAUAUGAAUGCCUGCCAUUAGGUGGGCAAUUCAAAUGGGACUGAUGCAAACAGCCCAUCGAGUAACAAUUAGAGGACAAGUCUGGUGCCAGCACCCGCGGUAAUUCCAGCUCUAAUAGCAUACGUUAAAGUUGUUGCGGUUAAAACGCUCGUAGUCGCCACCAGACCUUCAGAAACCUUCCAUUGCGAUGUGGGUCAGCUGCUCUGUUUCAACAAAACGGGCGCGCCACUGAGCUCUGAGGGCAGACGUCGGUCAAUCGUACUUUUGGUCACCUGGGUUACUUCGGUUUCCCGGUUAAAAGGCUAUCCGUAUCUGAGGCUCCGGCUGAGGGUACGGGUGGUUGGCUGACUGUACCGUUUACUAUGACCAAACUGGAGUGCUCAAAGCCGGUCACUUUGAUCACUACAGCGCAGCAUAGUAUAACGAUACCCAGGACAGUACGUUGCAGGUACUGGACUGGGUAAAAGAUUAAGGGAUGUUCGAGGGUGACCGAAUUACUGGGCGAGUGGUGAAAUACGUUGACCCUAGUAAGUCGACCAAAGGCGAAAGCAGUCAUCAAGGGCAUACCCGAUGAUCAAGAGCGAAAGUUAAGGGUUCGAAGACGAU
RNAcentral lists this ribosomal RNA (1128 nucleotides) under Physarum album. RNAcentral's name for it is "SSU rRNA". It matches the Rfam family "Eukaryotic small subunit ribosomal RNA", at positions 32 to 1008 of the family's 1831-position model. Lineage: Eukaryota; Evosea; Eumycetozoa; Physariida; Physaraceae. The record is from RNAcentral.